RNAcentral lists this transfer RNA (70 nucleotides) under Benthodytes marianensis. RNAcentral's name for it is "tRNA-Val". It matches the Rfam family "tRNA". Rfam says of the family: Transfer RNA (tRNA) molecules are approximately 80 nucleotides in length. Their secondary structure includes four short double-helical elements and three loops (D, anti-codon, and T loops). Lineage: Eukaryota; Metazoa; Echinodermata; Holothuroidea; Elasipodida; Psychropotidae. The record is from RNAcentral.
CGAGAUAUAGCUAAGGAUAAAGCUUUUCUUUUACAAAGAAAAAAUAUUUGUGAAACUCAAAUUAUUUUGA